GACGAACGCUGGCGGCGUGCUUAACACAUGCAAGUCGAACGGAAAGGCCCUGCUUUUGUGGGGUGCUCGAGUGGCGAACGGGUGAGUAACACGUGAGUAACCUGCCCUUGACUUUGGGAUAACUUCAGGAAACUGGGGCUAAUACCGGAUAGGAGCUCCUGUUGCAUGGUGGGGGUUGGAAAGUUUCGGCGGUUGGGGAUGGACUCGCGGCUUAUCAGCUUGUUGGUGGGGUAGUGGCUUACCAAGGCUUUGACGGGUAGCCGGCCUGGGAGGGUGACCGGCCACAUUGGGACUGAGGUACGGCCCAGUCUCCUACGGGAGGCAACGGUGGGGAGUAUUGUACAAUGAGCGGGAGCCUGAUGCAGCAGCGCCGCGUGCGGAAUGACGGCCUUCGGGUUGUAAAACGCAUUCGCCUGUGACGAAGCGUGAGUGACGGUAAUGAAUAAAGAAGCACCGGCUAACUACGUG
Molecule: ribosomal RNA, 468 nt
Filed under: uncultured bacterium
Lineage: Bacteria
Description: partial 16S ribosomal RNA
Rfam family: Bacterial small subunit ribosomal RNA
Source: RNAcentral